GAGGGAGGAAAGCAGCGCACAGGUACCGGGCCCCGGGAAGCCAUUCGAUUUAGAAGAAAUACGCUGAUGGUUGCCCUGCGGACCCCUGCCCACACCGCCCGAGGGACUCCUUCCCACGUCCGCUCCGGAGCCCAGAAGUUAGCUGCGGAGUUUGUUUGUCGCGCCCGCGCACCUAGAGUGUGCAAGGAGAGCCGGCGCCCGCCCGCCCGCCCGCCCGAGCUCUGCCCCGUUCUCUGCUCCUGCAGUUCCGCCGCCGCCGCCGAGAGCUCGGGGCGACAGCGAGCGGCUGCGGCGGCGCGAAACCCCGGCGGCAGCCGCCGAGUCUCUGUAGCCGGGCCGGGAAAGCCGGGAGCGGCCCGCGCAGAAGCAUCCUUGAGUAACCGGGGAAAUGAGGACGCUAGCGUGAGCUUUGUAGGAACAACAAAGGCAAGAAAAGGCGUCUGCACCAGGAUGGCCGAGUGGUUAAGGCGUUGGACUUAAGAUCCAAUGGACAUAUGUCUGCGUGGGUUCGAACCCCACUCCUGGUUCAUUCAGUUGUCUGGAGUCGUAGAAAAAUAUUUUUCAAAAAACUCCCAACUCUGUGGGAAAUGGUAUCAGUAUAUUUAAAUUGUGACACCUACUGGAAAACUUGAGGCUGGAGAGAUGGUUCAGCAGUUAAGAGCACUGACUGCUCUUCUAGAGGUCCUGAGUUCAAAUCCCAGCAACCACAUGGUGGUUCACAACCAUCUGUAAUGAGAUCUGAUGCCCUCUUCUGGUGCAUCUGAAGACAGCUACAGUGUACUUAUUUAUAAUAAUAAAUAAAUCUUUUUUAAAAAAGAUUUCAUUUCAAAAACAGGAAUUUUAGAGGAAGGCAUAGAUUGCAUUUUUCUGAUUUAUUUAUUGAAUUUCUUGUUUCACUUAACAGUCUUUAAAUGCCUAGUUUUCCAGUGGCCUUCUUCAAAGGCAGAAUUUUGUAAUGUCUUGGGUUUUUUUUUUUUUUUUUUUAUAAAGUAAUGUUUUGAAAUCUAACUUGAAAAGAAAAGAAAAAUAAACUCGGAGUUUUC
RNAcentral lists this long non-coding RNA (1043 nucleotides) under Mus pahari (shrew mouse). Its description in RNAcentral is "lncRNA (MGP_PahariEiJ_G0005239.1)". The stretch from base 445 to 527 matches the Rfam family "tRNA". The record is from RNAcentral. Lineage: Eukaryota; Metazoa; Chordata; Mammalia; Rodentia; Muridae.